RNAcentral lists this ribosomal RNA (492 nucleotides) under uncultured bacterium. Its description in RNAcentral is "partial 16S ribosomal RNA". It matches the Rfam family "Bacterial small subunit ribosomal RNA", at positions 29 to 507 of the family's 1533-position model. The record is from RNAcentral.
AGUGAACGCUGGCGGUAGGCUUAACACAUGCAAGUCGAACGGCAGCACAGUAAGUUCUUGCUCUUACGGGUGGGGAGUGGCGUACGGGUGAGGAGAAUAUCGGAAUCUACUUUUUCGUGGGGGUUCACGUAGCGGAACCUACGCUAGUAUCGCAUACCACCUACCGGUGAGAGCAUUGGAUCUUCUCAGCUGUUGCGGUUGAACGCGCUGAUGUCGGGUUAGUUAGUUGGCGGGGUAAUGGCCCACCAAGGCGGCGAUCCGUAGCUGGUCAGAGAGGAUGAUCGGCCACACUGGAACUGAGACACGGACCAGACUCCUGCGGGAGGCAGCAGUGGGGAAUGUUGGACAGUGGGGGCGAGCCUGAUCCAGCCAUACCGCGUGGGUGAAGACGGCCUUCGGGUUGUAAAGCCCUUUUGUUGGGUGAGAAAAGCAGCAGGUUGAUACCCCGCUGGUCUGACGGUAACCAAAGAAGAAGCACCGGCUAACUACGUG